This 270-nucleotide ribosomal RNA is filed under the name uncultured archaeon. Its description in RNAcentral is "partial 16S ribosomal RNA". It matches the Rfam family "Archaeal small subunit ribosomal RNA", at positions 477 to 747 of the family's 1478-position model. The record is from RNAcentral.
CAGCUCUCCGAGUGGUAGGGAUGAUUAUUGGGCUUAAAGCGUCCGUAGCCGGCUUAGCAAGUCUCCUGUUAAAUUCAGCGACCUAAUCGUUGAGCCGCGGGAGACACUACUAGGCUAGGAGGCGGGAGAGGCCGACGGUAUUCUCGGGGUAGGGGUGAAAUCCUAUAAUCCCGGGAGGACCACCAGUGGCGAAGGCUGUUGACUAGAACGCGCUCGACGGUGAGGGACGAAAGCUGGGGGAGCGAACCGGAUUAGAUACCCGAGUAGUCC